UUAGUAUUUUCUGCUCAAUGUAAAUAGCCGCAGUACCCUGACUGUGCAAAGGUAGCAUAAUAAUUUGGCUUAUAAUUGAAGUCUGGAAUGAAUGAAAAAUGGAUAGUGCUGUAUUACUUUACUAUAUAAUUUACUUAAUGGGUGAAAAUUCCCAUAAUAUUAUAAGACGAGAAGACCCUAGAAAUUUUUAAUUUUGUUGGGGCAACAAUUUUAAAAUAUAUAAAAUAAUUUAUAAAAUAAUAAAUUACUCUAGGGAUAACAGCAUAAUUUUCAAAGAUUGUGACCUCGAUGUUGGAUUAGGUAAAGUUAAGA
RNAcentral lists this ribosomal RNA (312 nucleotides) under Cochlostyla intermedia. RNAcentral describes it as "Helicostyla intermedia partial 16S ribosomal RNA". Lineage: Eukaryota; Metazoa; Mollusca; Gastropoda; Stylommatophora; Camaenidae. The record is from RNAcentral.